UGCAAGUCGAACGUGAAAGCACUUCGGUGUGAGUAGAGUGGCGGACGGGUGAGUAACGCGUGGGAAUCUGCCCAGUAGUGGGGGACAACUACCGGAAACGGUAGCUAAUACCGCAUACGCCCUAUGGGGGAAAGGCUUCGGCCGCUAUUGGAUGAGCCCGCGUCAGAUUAGCUAGUUGGUAGGGUAAAGGCCUACCAAGGCAACGAUCUGUAGCUGGUCUGAGAGGACGAACAGCCACACUGGGACUGAGACACGGCCCAGACUCCUACGGGAGGCAGCAGUGGGGAAUAUUGGACAAUGGGCGAAAGCCUGAUCCAGCAAUGCCGCGUGUGUGAAGAAGGCCUGCGGGUUGUAAAGCACUUUCAGUUGGGAAGAUGAUGACGUUACCAACAGAAGAAGCACCGGCUAAAUCCGUGCCAGCAGCCGCGGUAAUACGGAUGGUGCGAGCGUUAAUCGGAAUUACUGGGCGUAAAGCGCGCGUAGGCGGCUAAGUCAGUCAGAAGUGAAAGCCCCGGGCUCAACCUGGGAAUUGCUUUUGAUACUGCUUAGCUAGAGUUUGGUAGAGGAUAGUGGAAUUUCAGGUGUAGCGGUGAAAUGCGUAGAUAUCUGAAGGAACAUCAGUGGCGAAGGCGACUGUCUGGACCAAAACUGACGCUGAGGUGCGAAAGCGUGGGUAGCAAACAGGAUUAGAUACCCUGGUAGUCCACGCCGUAAACGAUGUCAACUAGCCGUCGGGUCUAUUUACAGACUUGGUGGCGCAGCUAACGCGAUAAGUUGACCGCCUGGGGAGUACGGCCGCAAGGUUAAAACUCAAAGGAAUUGACGGGGGCCCGCACAAGCGGUGGA
Molecule: ribosomal RNA, 846 nt
Filed under: uncultured Gammaproteobacteria bacterium
Lineage: Bacteria; Pseudomonadati; Pseudomonadota; Gammaproteobacteria
Description: bacterial SSU rRNA
Rfam family: Bacterial small subunit ribosomal RNA
Source: RNAcentral